GGGGAUUUAGCUCAGCGGUAGAGCGCUUGCCUAGCAGGCACAAGGCCCUGGGUUCGACCCCCAGCUCUG
This 69-nucleotide transfer RNA is filed under the name Rattus norvegicus (Norway rat). It matches the Rfam family "tRNA". From Rfam's summary of the family: Transfer RNA (tRNA) molecules are approximately 80 nucleotides in length. Their secondary structure includes four short double-helical elements and three loops (D, anti-codon, and T loops). The record is from Rfam by way of RNAcentral. Lineage: Eukaryota; Metazoa; Chordata; Mammalia; Rodentia; Muridae.